AGCGAACGCUGGCGGCGUGCCUAACACAUGCAAGUCGAACGUGAAAGGGAGCAAUCCCAAGUAAAGUGGCGUACGGGUGAGUAACACGUAGGUAAUCUACCCCAGAAUCUGGAAUAACCGGCCGAAAGGCUGGCUAAUACUGGAUAGAGCGACGGAAUCCGUAAUUGGGUUUUUCGGGAAAGGGAGCCUGUAAAAAGGCCUUCGUUCUGGGAUGAGCCUGCGUCCCAUCAGCUAGUUGGUGAGGUAAAAGCUUACCAAGGCAAUGACGGGUAGCUGGUCUGAGAGGACGAUCAGCCACACUGGAACUGAAACACGGUCCAGACUCCUACGGGAGGCAGCAGUGGGGAAUCUUGCACAAUGGACGAAAGUCUGACGCAGCAACGCCGCGUGAGUGAAGAAGGCCUUCGGGUUGUAAAGCUCUGUCGAGUGGGACGAAAAUGCUUGGAGUUCACAGCUCCAGGAACUGACGGUACCACUAAAGGAAGCACCGGCUAACUCCGUG
RNAcentral lists this ribosomal RNA (502 nucleotides) under uncultured bacterium. RNAcentral describes it as "partial 16S ribosomal RNA". It matches the Rfam family "Bacterial small subunit ribosomal RNA", at positions 29 to 507 of the family's 1533-position model. The record is from RNAcentral.